RNAcentral lists this ribosomal RNA (468 nucleotides) under uncultured bacterium. RNAcentral's name for it is "partial 16S ribosomal RNA". It matches the Rfam family "Bacterial small subunit ribosomal RNA", at positions 28 to 507 of the family's 1533-position model. The record is from RNAcentral.
GACGAACGCUGGCGGCGUGCUUAACACAUGCAAGUCGAACGGAAAGGCCCUGCUUUUGGGGGGUGCUCGAGUGGCGAACGGGUGAGUAACACGUGAGUAACCUGCCCUUGACUUUGGGAUAACUUCCGGAAACUGGGGCUAAUACCGGAUAGGAGCUCCUGCUGCAUGGUGGGGGUUGGAAAGUUUCGGCGGUUGGGGAUGGACUCGCGGCUCAUCAGCUUGUUGGUGGGGUAGUGGCUUACCAAGGCUUUGACGGGUAGCCGGCCUGAGAGGGUGACAGGCCACAUUGGGACUGAGAUACGGCCCAGACUCCUACGGGAGGCAGCAGUGGGGAAUAUUGCACAAUGGGCGGAAGCCUGAUGCAGCAACGCCGCGUGCGGGAUGACGGCCUUCGGGUUGUAAACCGCUUUCGCCCGUGACGAAGCGUGAGUGACGGUAAUGUGUAAAGAAGCACCGGCUAACUACGUG